Long non-coding RNA from Erinaceus europaeus (western European hedgehog), 2565 nucleotides. RefSeq lists it as uncharacterized. NCBI's taxonomy places the organism in Eukaryota, Metazoa, Chordata, Mammalia, Eulipotyphla, Erinaceidae. The record is from RefSeq and is a predicted model, not a curated record. The transcript is spliced from 3 exons.
CAGAUGGGGAGCCAGGGGCAUAAACUGGGAUCCUUGCGCUUUGUACUAUGUGCUCUUAACCCGAUGCAUCAUGGCCUGACCCCAACAAUAAUUGCUUUUACUAAAGCAUAUGCAAAGUACCUUGAGGUGCCCCUUCCACUAUUCUCUUCCACUGUUGGCCAAAGUAGUCCUGCAUUGCAGCCUUUGUAUCUCUGAGCUAUAAAGGGCCCAGGUUCAAGCCCCCAGCCCCCACCUAUAGGAGGGAAGCUUCUCAAGUGGUGAAGCAAUGCUGCAAGUGUCUUUCUUUCUCUUUCCCGCUCUAUCGUUCCCUUCCCCCUCAAUUUCUCUCUGUGUUUUGAAAAAAAGAAAGUCAUAUAAUUUUUAAAAAGAGAGAAUAUAACACACAAAUCUAAAAAUGCAUAAACCUCAGCCAUUCUCAGUUUAACUGUGUUACGCAAGGCCCUUCUUGCAGCCUGAGCUUGACUCUGCCCUACAAGAAUGUUAUUUGGGAAACUUCAUCAGGAAAAGGGUCUGAAAUCACUCAGGCUGCCACAGACCUAACAGCUGCUAUAUACAAAUCUUCUCUACCCCAAGACUUAGGCAUGUGCCACCUCUAAGCUUCUGGACUCUGCCUCCAUGAUUCAUUCCUAAUCUAGAUCAGAAUUCCUCCUUUCCUCUAGUCUAGUUUGUGUUUGACACCCUGCUCUGUUCUCUCUGCCCCAAAUAGGCUCUUCCUCUGCUUCCCUCUAUGGACUUUAUUGAUUUUCCUCUUACAUAUAAGUCUGUAAUGCAUCUGAACUUGAUCCUGACUCUAGCUUGCACGUUUUACAGAGAAUGAAGUUGUAAAUGAAGUUGUCUUUCAUCCUCUAGACACUGGUUUCUACUCAGACUGUUCCUGUGGCACUUGCUUUCUUACUGUGCAGUUCUGAUCUCAACCCUGAUAUUCCAGUCUUUCUGCUGACUAUGUGAGUUUAUUAUAAACUCUUCUAGGCCUUUAUCAAUUGCAUCAGCCGGGGUUGGCUUCCAUGGCCUGCAAUCAAAGAUCUCUAAAAUUUUGCAUCCCUGGAGAGUCAAAUGGUUAGGUCUAACUCUUCGGGGUGAAGGUGGAAGAAAGAAAUACUGCUUCCAUCCUUGGAAUAUCACAGUGCAUAGGUUUCUAUUGGUGAAAUAUUAAUUUGCCAUAUUUAACUCCUUUAUACAGGACACUAGGAAUGCCCAUCUUCAGGCCUUGUCUACAAAUUGCGCAACAUGAAUAGUAAUAAAGUUGUUCAUAAUGGAGGUACUGAGCAUAGAUAAGAAGACAAAAUUCACAUACAAGGAUUAUUUGAGAAUUCAAGAAACUGCAGUUAGAAUGACCCACCCAUACUCAACCUGUCCCACAAAUGGCUGAGAUGAUCAAGGACACAUUUUAACUGGGAGUCCAAGCUCUGGAGGUCGGUGAUGGAAAAUUGUGAGGAUGUCACUGUAACUAAGAGCACCAUAAUUACAACUUGAGUGGUUCCUGCAGCUAGUGUAAUCCCCAGAAUGCUCCCCAAGCUGGGACCACCUACUCACCUCACAGGGAAGGAGUGAUAGAAACAAAAAUCAACUACAAAUUUAUCAAGGACCUGGAUGUUAGAACAGAAACUAUCAAAUAUACUUAGAGGAAAACAUUGGUGGAACACUUUCCCACCUUAACCUCAAGGACAACUUUGAUGAAACAAACACAACUGCAAGGAAGACUAAAGCAGAAAGAAAUCAAUGGGACUACAUCAAAUUGAAAAGCUUCUGCACAGCCAAAGAAACUACCACACAAAGAGACCCCUUACAGAAUGGGAGAAGAUCUUCACAUGUCAUACAUCAGACAAGAGACUAAUAACCAAAAUAUACAAAGAGCUCAGCAAACUUAGCAACAAAAAAAGCAAAUGACCCCAUCCAAAAAUGGGCAGAGGAAAUGAACAAAACAUUCACUUACAGGAGAUCAAAAAGGCUAACAAACAUAUGAAAAAUUGCUCCAGGUCGCUGAUUGUCAGAGAAAUGCAAAUAAAGACAGCAUUGAGAUACCACCUCACUCCUGUGAGAAUGGCAUACAUCAAAAAGACAGCAGCAACAAAUGCUGGAGAGGUGGUGGGGAAAAAGAAAUCCUUCUGCACUGCUAGUGGGAAUGUAAAUUGGCCCAGCCUCUGUGGAGAGCAUCUGGAGAACUCUCACAAGGCUAGACAUGGACCUUCCAUAUGACCCAGUAAUUCCUCUACUGGGGAUAUAUCCCAAGGACUCCGUAACACCCAACCAAAAAGAUAUGUGUACUCCUAUGUUCAUAGCAGCACAAUUCAUAAUAGCUAAAACCUGGAAGGAACCCAAGUACCCAACAAUAGAUGAGUGGCUGAGAAAGCUGUGGUAUAUUUACACAAUGGAAUAUUACACAGCUAUUAAGAACAAUGAACCCAUCUUCUCUGACCCAACUUGGAUGGAGCUAGAAGGAAUUAGGUUAAGUGAACUAAGGAAGAUAAAGACAAAUAUGAGAUGAUCCCACUCAUAAACAGAAGUUGAGAAAGAAUACCAGAAAGGGAAACUCAAAGCAGGAUCUGACUAAAUUUGUAGUAGGGC